CACAGUCACUCUUCUACCCCCACACUCACACUCAUAGUCACACACCCAAUCACAGACACAGUCACCAACACACAGUCUCAAGGAAAGAGGUACACACCCAGAAAGUCUCAGAGACUCACCAGGUAUCACCAAAGUUCUCCCUCCCCCUUGAAUACGCAGAGCCAAAGAAAGAUGCAGACUUGUACAACCACAAAUAUACACACCUGGUCUCUCUCUCUCUCUCUCUCUCUCUCUCUCUCUCUCUCUCACACACACACACACACACACACACACACACACACAGAGUCACAAAGUCUCAACACAGACACAGAGUAAUACAUAGUCACACACAGAGAAAAACAGACACACACAGUUGCACACAGGCUCCCCCAGACACAGAACAAUGGGCACAUUGUCUGGGUUGGCAGCAGCUGGGAAGGAAGGAGCGGCAGUGUGGACGGGAGGAGUCCAUAGGGCUGCUGUAGGACACCCACCCCCAAGCAUACUAAGUCUCCUCCCUCUUCAAGAAGUUGGAUUCUACUGGGACCUGGAUUUUCUACGGGCUUGGGCUCCCAGGCACCUCCUCCCCAGCCUCCUGAUUGUCUGGUGGGAUGCAGUCCCCCCUCCACCAUGGACCAGGCUCUCUAGCCACUCAAGAUCUUUUAGCCCUGUUGCUCCUUCCUGCUUCUGGAAUCCUCUGAAAAAUGUGCCUCUCACCUCUACCAGGCAGCACCUGGAGAUUAGGAAUCCUGGGAUCCCAUCUUAACCUCUGACCCCACCCAACCCCUCC
RNAcentral lists this long non-coding RNA (769 nucleotides) under Marmota monax (woodchuck). The record is from RNAcentral. Lineage: Eukaryota; Metazoa; Chordata; Mammalia; Rodentia; Sciuridae.